Molecule: ribosomal RNA, 1560 nt
Filed under: Enterococcus faecium
Lineage: Bacteria; Bacillati; Bacillota; Bacilli; Lactobacillales; Enterococcaceae
Description: bacterial SSU rRNA
Rfam family: Bacterial small subunit ribosomal RNA
Source: RNAcentral
UUUUAUGAGAGUUUGAUCCUGGCUCAGGACGAACGCUGGCGGCGUGCCUAAUACAUGCAAGUCGAACGCUUCUUUUUCCGCCGGAGCUUGCUCCACCGGAAAAAGAGGAGUGGCGAACGGGUGAGUAACACGUGGGUAACCUGCCCAUCAGAAGGGGAUAACACUUGGAAACAGGUGCUAAUACCGUAUAACAAUCGAAACCGCAUGGUUUUGAUUUGAAAGGCGCUUUCGGGUGUCGCUGAUGGAUGGACCCGCGGUGCAUUAGCUAGUUGGUGAGGUAACGGCUCACCAAGGCCACGAUGCAUAGCCGACCUGAGAGGGUGAUCGGCCACAUUGGGACUGAGACACGGCCCAAACUCCUACGGGAGGCAGCAGUAGGGAAUCUUCGGCAAUGGACGAAAGUCUGACCGAGCAACGCCGCGUGAGUGAAGAAGGUUUUCGGAUCGUAAAACUCUGUUGUUAGAGAAGAACAAGGAUGAGAGUAACUGUUCAUCCCUUGACGGUAUCUAACCAGAAAGCCACGGCUAACUACGUGCCAGCAGCCGCGGUAAUACGUAGGUGGCAAGCGUUGUCCGGAUUUAUUGGGCGUAAAGCGAGCGCAGGCGGUUUCUUAAGUCUGAUGUGAAAGCCCCCGGCUCAACCGGGGAGGGUCAUUGGAAACUGGGAGACUUGAGUGCAGAAGAGGAGAGUGGAAUUCCAUGUGUAGCGGUGAAAUGCGUAGAUAUAUGGAGGAACACCAGUGGCGAAGGCGGCUCUCUGGUCUGUAACUGACGCUGAGGCUCGAAAGCGUGGGGAGCAAACAGGAUUAGAUACCCUGGUAGUCCACGCCGUAAACGAUGAGUGCUAAGUGUUGGAGGGUUUCCGCCCUUCAGUGCUGCAGCUAACGCAUUAAGCACUCCGCCUGGGGAGUACGACCGCAAGGUUGAAACUCAAAGGAAUUGACGGGGGCCCGCACAAGCGGUGGAGCAUGUGGUUUAAUUCGAAGCAACGCGAAGAACCUUACCAGGUCUUGACAUCCUUUGACCACUCUAGAGAUAGAGCUUCCCCUUCGGGGGCAAAGUGACAGGUGGUGCAUGGUUGUCGUCAGCUCGUGUCGUGAGAUGUUGGGUUAAGUCCCGCAACGAGCGCAACCCUUAUUGUUAGUUGCCAUCAUUCAGUUGGGCACUCUAGCAAGACUGCCGGUGACAAACCGGAGGAAGGUGGGGAUGACGUCAAAUCAUCAUGCCCCUUAUGACCUGGGCUACACACGUGCUACAAUGGGAAGUACAACGAGUCGCGAAGUCGCGAGGCUAAGCUAAUCUCUUAAAGCUUCUCUCAGUUCGGAUUGCAGGCUGCAACUCGCCUGCAUGAAGCCGGAAUCGCUAGUAAUCGCGGAUCAGCACGCCGCGGUGAAUACGUUCCCGGGCCUUGUACACACCGCCCGUCACACCACGAGAGUUUGUAACACCCGAAGUCGGUGAGGUAACCUUUUGGAGCCAGCCGCCUAAGGUGGGAUAGAUGAUUGGGGUGAAGUCGUAACAAGGUAGCCGUAUCGGAAGGUGCGGCUGGAUCACCUCCUUU